Molecule: transfer RNA, 73 nt
Filed under: Nelumbo nucifera (sacred lotus)
Lineage: Eukaryota; Viridiplantae; Streptophyta; Magnoliopsida; Proteales; Nelumbonaceae
Rfam family: tRNA
About the family: Transfer RNA (tRNA) molecules are approximately 80 nucleotides in length. Their secondary structure includes four short double-helical elements and three loops (D, anti-codon, and T loops).
Source: Rfam by way of RNAcentral
GGGGAUGUUGGACAAACGGUAGACUGCUUGCUUUGCAUGUUAGAGGUACGGGGUUCGAUACCCCGCUUUUCMA